GACGAACGCUGGCGGCGUGCUUAACACAUGCAAGUCGAACGAAGAGCGAUGGAAGCUUGCUUCUCUCAAUCUUAGUGGCGAACGGGUGAGUAACGCGUAAUCAACCUGCCCUUCAGAGGGGGACAACAGUUGGAAACGACUGCUAAUACCGCAUACGAUCUAAUCUCGGCAUCGAGGAUAGAUGAAAGGUGGCCUCUACAUGUAAGCUAUCACUGAAGGAGGGGAUUGCGUCUGAUUAGCUAGUUGGAGGGGUAACGGCCCACCAAGGCGAUGAUCAGUAGCCGGUCUGAGAGGAUGAACGGCCACAUUGGGACUGAGACACGGCCCAGACUUCUACGGGAGGCAGCAGUGGGGAAUCUUCCGCAAUGGACGAAAGUCUGACGGAGCAACGCCGCGUGAGUGAUGACGGCCUUCGGGUUGUAAAGCUCUGUUAAUCGGGACGAAAGGCCUUCUUGCGAAUAGUGAGAAGGAUUGACGGUACCGGAAUAGAAAGCCACGGCUAACUACGUG
RNAcentral lists this ribosomal RNA (510 nucleotides) under uncultured bacterium. RNAcentral's name for it is "partial 16S ribosomal RNA". It matches the Rfam family "Bacterial small subunit ribosomal RNA", at positions 28 to 507 of the family's 1533-position model. The record is from RNAcentral.